RNAcentral lists this ribosomal RNA (253 nucleotides) under uncultured bacterium. RNAcentral describes it as "partial 16S ribosomal RNA". It matches the Rfam family "Bacterial small subunit ribosomal RNA", at positions 524 to 776 of the family's 1533-position model. The record is from RNAcentral.
UACGUAGGGUGCGAGCGUUGUCCGGAAUUAUUGGGCGUAAAGAGCUCGUAGGCGGUCUGUCGCGUCGGCUGUGAAAACCCGGGGCUCAACCCCGGGCCUGCAGUCGAUACGGGCAGACUAGAGUGUGGUAGGGGAGACUGGAAUUCCUGGUGUAGCGGUGAAAUGCGCAGAUAUCAGGAGGAACACCGGUGGCGAAGGCGGGUCUCUGGGCCAUAACUGACGCUGAGGAGCGAAAGCGUGGGGAGCGAACAGG